RNAcentral lists this ribosomal RNA (735 nucleotides) under Entrophospora claroidea. Its description in RNAcentral is "26S ribosomal RNA". It matches the Rfam family "Eukaryotic large subunit ribosomal RNA", at positions 56 to 649 of the family's 3401-position model. Lineage: Eukaryota; Fungi; Glomeromycota; Glomeromycetes; Entrophosporales; Entrophosporaceae. The record is from RNAcentral.
GAACUAACAAGGAUUCCCCUAGUAACGGCGAGUGAAGAGGGAAGAGCUCAAAUUUUAAAUCUGCCUUGUUUCAAGGUCGAGUUGUAAUUUGAAGAAGCGUUUUCUUGGGCUCGCGGCCGGUAGAAGUUCUUUGGAACAGGACAUCAUAGAGGGUGACAAUCCCGUCUCGACCGGUCGUGCGUUCAUCUACGAUACGCUUUCAAAGAGUCGAGUUGUUUGGGAUUGCAGCUCCAAAUGGGUGGUAAACAUCACCUAAGGCUAAAUAUUGGCGAGAGACCGAUAGCGAACAAGUACCGUGAGGGAAAGAUGAAAAGAACUUUGAAAAGAGAGUUAAACAGUACGUGAAAUUGUUGAAAGGGAAACGAUUGAAGUCAGUCGUGCUGGCGCGAAAUCAACCCUCUCRUCGAGAGGACACAUGGKGUGGCGAGCCUCAAAACCGKCACAAAGCGUGAACUCUUGGCGAAAAGGAGCACUUUCGUGUCCGCUGGUUAACAUCAAUUUCGAACGUCAUAAAAAGGCUGGAGGGAUGUGGCUCCUUCGGGAGUGUUAUAACCUUUAGCGGAAUGUGGUGGUCGGGAUUGAGGAUUGCAACGAAUACCUUUAGGGCUGUUCCACCUGGCUUCUCUUUGGUAUCCUGGUGACGACAGCUUGCUGACGUUGUUAGGAUUCGCCUUUGAACAGGCUAGAGUGUGAGCAAAUUCGUUAAGGAUGUUAACGUAAUGGCUUUAAACGACC